AACAACCUACGUCCAGUCCUGAAAAUCCAAUCGGAUUUCAGAUUUUCUUCUCCUUCAAUAGAAAGAAUCAAUUACAGAUUGUCCAGUUUCCUCCCUGAAACCUAUCUAUCUUAAUGAUCUCUUUCCUAUUGAAUACCCUCUGAUCCUUGUAGAUACUCGUCAACCUAUCACAGAAUCACAGUGCGACUCUUUCUUGUUGAACACUCUUCACCCAAGAAAGUAGCCACCAGUUUCUAGCUGGCUUUCUAUCAACCCUUUGAUCCUUGUAGACAAUCGGCAGCCUAACACAAAAUCAAAGUACGACUCUUUCUUGUUGAGACCUCUCACCCAAGAAAGUAGCCACCAGUUUCUAGCUGGAUUUCUAGCGUUCGUUUUGGUUCAAAGAUUUAUUACAGAAUGAAUAAAAGAAGUAAAACAAAAGGGUCUUCAAUCUUUAUGAAUGUUGCUCCUCACGAAUCUGGAUAUUCAAGGAAUGUUCAUGAGCACAUUAUCAUUUCUCUUGGAUUGUCAACAAACUGUAUUGUAAUCUGUAAUCACAAUUAUGAAGUUGUUAGUUUGUUGUUAUGAACAGUUGAGAGCAUUAUGAGAAAUUAUGAAAGUUAUGAAUUGUUAUGAAAAAGUUAUUAGAAUAAAGAUUGAAAGACAGUUUAUAUAGUUUCUGAAAAACCAACUACGCAAUCGAUUUCCCAAUCGAUUUUGUAAAGUUAUAAAAGGUGCUAAAUCGAUUUGCCAAUCGAUUAUCGCGAUCUUGGUUUUCUUUAAUCUUGAAACUAUACAAGCUAAUCGAUUUACCAAUCGAUUCUUUUAAAACCACUUUUCAGUAUAACAUGUUCAGACUUGUUGGAAUCGAUUGCCUAAUCGAUUUCUGGAAAACUGUUUCAAUAAGAGUAAGUUCAAUCGAUUACUCAAUCGCUGUUCCAACUCUCAGAGUUCACUGUGUUUUCAAAAAGUUUAUUUCAAUCGAUUUGCCAAUCGAUUGUGUUCAAAACAGUGGCUCAGUUUUUU
RNAcentral lists this long non-coding RNA (1005 nucleotides) under Cicer arietinum (chickpea). Its description in RNAcentral is "long non-coding RNA (CARI_LNC001715)". Lineage: Eukaryota; Viridiplantae; Streptophyta; Magnoliopsida; Fabales; Fabaceae. The record is from RNAcentral.